This 3419-nucleotide unclassified non-coding RNA is filed under the name Apis dorsata (giant honeybee). Its description in RNAcentral is "mitogen-activated protein kinase kinase kinase kinase 5, transcript variant X3". Lineage: Eukaryota; Metazoa; Arthropoda; Insecta; Hymenoptera; Apidae. The record is from RNAcentral.
AAAUCGUAACUAAUUUCAGAGCUGUUGUGAACAAUGGCGACGUUUCAACGAAAGUGACAUUCUGACGAACAAAUGUGUUUUCACACUUUAACAUUAAUCUUCUUUUGUAGAUAUUAAUUACGCUCAUUAGCUGCUAAAUCAGCAGAAAUCCGUGUUUUAGAAUGGCUUUGAACGCUAACGCGUUAUCCAGUGACAUAAGCCGAAGAAAUCCACAAGAUGAAUAUGAACUCAUUCAGAGGAUAGGCAGCGGAACGUACGGAGAUGUUUACAAGGCCAAAAGACUUUCCACGAAUGAUCUCGCUGCAAUUAAGGUUAUCAAAUUGGAACCAGGAGAUGAUUUUGCAAUAAUUCAACAAGAAAUUUUAAUGAUGAAAGAUUGCAGACAUCCUAAUAUUAUUGCCUAUUAUGGAAGUUAUUUGAGAAGAGAUAAAUUAUGGAUUUGUAUGGAAUAUUGUGGAGGUGGUUCUUUGCAAGAUAUAUAUCAUAUAACUGGGCCUUUGUCAGAAAUACAAAUAGCAUACAUGUGCCGAGAAACACUUUUGGGAUUGGCUUAUUUGCAUAGUAUGGGCAAAAUGCAUCGUGAUAUUAAAGGUGCCAAUAUAUUAUUGACUGAAGCUGGUGAUGUCAAGUUAGCUGAUUUUGGUGUAUCAGCACAAAUUACUGCAACUAUUAAUAAAAGAAAGAGUUUCAUUGGUACUCCUUAUUGGAUGGCACCUGAGGUUGCAGCUGUAGAAAGAAAGGGUGGUUAUAAUCAACUUUGUGAUAUUUGGGCAUGUGGAAUUACUGCAAUAGAGUUAGCUGAAUUGCAACCACCUAUGUUUGAUUUACAUCCCAUGAGAGCACUUUUUCUUAUGUCUAAAUCUGGAUUUAAACCACCUACGUUAAAAGAUCGUGACAAGUGGAGUCCAACAUUCCAUAAUUUCGUAAAAAUUGCUCUAACUAAAAAUCCUAAAAAAAGACCGACUGCUGAAAAAUUAUUACAGCAUACAUUUUUUCAAGGAGAAAUGAAUAAACGUUUAGCUCUAGAAUUAUUGCAAAAAGUAUCAAAUCCUAGUCAUAUGUUCACUGAAUUAGAAGCAGAUGAAGAUGGAGCUGUACCUAAUGUUCCACAGAGGAUAGCAUCGCGUCAUACUGCAAGACCUAGACCAAAAAGUCCUAUACCACAAUUAGAUAGCGACGAUCAAAUUAAUCUUGAUGGAACAUUGCAAAGAGACGUGAUUUCUCCAUCUGUAGAUACUAAUCCAUCAUGGGAUAUCAUGGAUAUUAUGAAUAAUGUCAAGUCAGUUCAUAACUGCGAUGUUCAUCCAGAUUGUGGUAUUGGCACAGCAUUUGAAGAUGUACAAGAAAAUCCUGUUGGCGCGAACGUUACAACAGAUAAUAGAGAGUCGCGUCGAAGCAAAACAGGCACAGAGAUAUUUCAUAUGAGUUUAAGGAGUCUAUUGCAGUACAUUGAUGAGGAGUUGUUGCUAAGGGGGAAUGCAAUGUCGAUGGUUGGUGGGCAUUGCGACCAGCUAUAUUCCCUGCAAGCUACACUUCCACUUGGAGAAUCAUCAAAUGAUUGUGAAGUGCAUGGCGCAUAUUACAAUAUAUCAGGAUCACAAGCAAGUCCCAGGCGCCAUAGCUCUGUAGAUGAAUUAUAUGGUUUAGUGAACAGUACUCAGUCUUUGGCUGCUGUGAAUGGACAACGUCAACGAUCUCUUUCAGAUAGUGGCCCUAGAGAUGAAUCUCCUCAAUCGAAUGGUCAAAAUGAGAUGUCAGGCGAAGGAGAUCAAGAAGGUAUGAGCCCAGAUUUAUUAUCCGAUACUCCGCCUGUUCCUCCGAGAAGAAGGGAUAGAAAACGUCAUACACCUCCUAGACCUAUCAGCAAUGGACUGCCACCAACACCUAAGGUUCAUAUGGGAGCAUGUUUUUCGAAAGUAUUUAAUGGUUGUCCAUUAAGAAUACAUUGUACUGCAAGUUGGAUUCAUCCAGAUACAAGGGAUCAGCAUUUAUUAAUUGCAGCAGAAGAAGGAAUUUAUAAUUUAAAUUUAAAUGAACUUCAUGAAACUGCAAUAGAUCAAUUAUAUCCAAGACGAACUAUUUGGAUGUAUGUCAUCAAGGAUGUUCUCAUGUCCUUAUCUGGAAAAACUCCUCAAUUAUAUAGACAUGAUUUAUUAGCAAUGCAAAGCAAACAAACUCAUAGGUUUUCAUUACACAUGAAUAAAAUACCUGAAAGAUUAGUCCCUAGAAAAUUUGCUCUAACUACAAAAGUACCAGAUACAAAAGGUUGUACUAAAUGCUGUGUAGGAAGAAAUCCAUAUAAUGGAUAUAAAUAUUUAUGUGGUGCAAUGCCAACUGGAAUAUUUUUAAUGCAAUGGUAUGAUCCUCUUAAUAAAUUCAUGUUAUUAAAACAUUUUGAUUGUACAUUACCAACACCACUAAAUGUAUUUGAAAUUAUUAUUACACCUGAAAUGGAGUAUCCGAUGGUGUGUGUAUCUGUGAAACAACCAUAUCAACAAAAUAAAUUAAAAUUGGAUUUAAUCAAUAUGAAUUCAGGGGCAAGUUGGUUUCACAGUGAUGAAUUGGAAGAUAUGGAUGGUUCUGCUACUGUGAUACCAAGAAGAGAAAAUCUUCAUGUUAUCAAUGUUACACAGUUAGAAAAAAAUGCAAUAUUAGUCUGUUACGAUAAUGUAGUAAAAGUGGUAACAUUACAAGGAAAACCUAGAUCAAGCAGAAAGCACAUGUCAGAAUUACAUUUUAAUUUUCAAAUUGAAUCCAUUAUUUGUUUACCAGAUAGUGUGCUAGCAUUCCAUAAACAUGGUAUGCAAGGUAGAAGUUUUAAAAACGGUGAAGUUACGCAAGAAAUCAGUGAUCCGAGUAGAACGUACAGAUUACUUGGAUCAGAUAAAGUUGUGAUGCUGGAGAGCCACUUAGUUCAAUCAGGCACACUGACUGAAUCCGAAGGCGCGGAUUUAUAUAUACUUGCUGGACACGAAGCCAGUUAUUAAGAUAUCUUCCAACUGUAAAUGUGCAGACAUAAUGUGUCACGAGUGAUUUGUGAUUCCAAUGACUGCAUAUAAAGUAAAAUAUGACUGAGAGGCAGUGGUCGAUGUUGGUGCUGUUCUAUCAUCAAGUUAUAAAAGUUGAUUUGGUUUUCUGUUCAGCUAUGUAUUAUGUUUUUCAUUAAAAAAUAUAUGUAAAUAUGUAAACCAAAAUUGGAAUAUUUUAAGAGGCAAAUUCGUAUUGUAAAAAUGACGAUACGACUUAGAAAAAAUGAGACAAAGAAAAGGAAAUGCGCGAAAAAGAGAGGUAUAUAUAAAUAUAAAUAUAUAUAUUUAAUAAAAAAUGUCCUUCGAAGAAAAAAUAUAAGUUCAAAGAAAUAUAAGAAUUAGCGUAAACAACGAUAUCGAGAUUUCGUUAGUUUGUGCUAUUUCAUAAGA